This 200-nucleotide long non-coding RNA is filed under the name Elaeis guineensis (African oil palm). RNAcentral describes it as "long non-coding RNA (EGUI_LNC050918)". Lineage: Eukaryota; Viridiplantae; Streptophyta; Magnoliopsida; Arecales; Arecaceae. The record is from RNAcentral.
GUUUGGCCCAAUCACACGUUUAUAUAAAUGCUUAUAGCGUCAAAUUAUAGCAUGCUAUGAAUUAUGCUAUAAUCAUGUUUAUGAUUAUGUUUUCAUAUGAUGAUUGUUGAAAAUUAUGUCCAAAGCCAAUCAUCAGCCUAUUGACGGUUGUGCUAAUCAUUAUAAUUAUAUAUAAAUUAUUAAAAUAAUAAAUAUUAUUU